GAUGAACGCUAGCGGCAGGCUUAAUACAUGCAAGUCGAGGGGCAGCACGGUUAGCAAUAACUGGUGGCGACCGGCGCACGGGUGCGUAACACGUAUACAAUCUACCUUAAACAGGGGGAUAGCCUUUCGAAAGAGAGAUUAAUACCCCGUAAUAAAUUGAACGGCAUCGUUUGAUUUUGAAAGCUCCGGCGGUUUGAGAUGAGUAUGCGUCUGAUUAGCUAGUUGGUGAGGUAACGGCUCACCAAGGCGACGAUCAGUAGGGGAUCUGAGAGGACUAACCCCCCACACUGGUACUGAGACACGGACCAGACUCCUACGGGAGGCAGCAGUAAGGAAUAUUGGUCAAUGGAGGCAACUCUGAACCAGCCAUGCCGCGUGCAGGAUGACGGCCCUAUGGGUUGUAAACUGCUUUUAUACAGGAAGAAACGACCCUUGCGAGGGGCAUUGACGGUACUGUAUGAAUAAGCACCGGCUAACUCCGUGCCAGCAGCCGCGU
This 496-nucleotide ribosomal RNA is filed under the name uncultured bacterium. RNAcentral's name for it is "bacterial SSU rRNA". It matches the Rfam family "Bacterial small subunit ribosomal RNA", at positions 28 to 520 of the family's 1533-position model. The record is from RNAcentral.